AUGGGAAGUACAACGAGUCGCGAAGUCGCGAGGCUAAGCUAAUCUCUUAAAGCUUCUCUCAGUUCGGAUUGCAGGCUGCAACUCGCCUGCAUGAAGCCGGAAUCGCUAGUAAUCGCGGAUCAGCACGCCGCGGUGAAUACGUUCCCGGGCCUUGUACACACCGCCCGUCACACCACGAGAGUUUGUAACACCCGAAGUCGGUGAGGUAACCUUUUUGGAGCCAGCCGCCUAAGGUGGGAUAGAUGAUUGGGGUGAAGUCGUAACAAGGUAGCCGUAUCGGAAGGUGCGGCUGGAUCACCUCCUUUCUAAGGAA
RNAcentral lists this ribosomal RNA (313 nucleotides) under Enterococcus faecium. RNAcentral's name for it is "partial 16S ribosomal RNA". It matches the Rfam family "Bacterial small subunit ribosomal RNA", at positions 1230 to 1533 of the family's 1533-position model. Lineage: Bacteria; Bacillati; Bacillota; Bacilli; Lactobacillales; Enterococcaceae. The record is from RNAcentral.